This 522-nucleotide ribosomal RNA is filed under the name uncultured bacterium. RNAcentral's name for it is "partial 16S ribosomal RNA". It matches the Rfam family "Bacterial small subunit ribosomal RNA", at positions 28 to 523 of the family's 1533-position model. The record is from RNAcentral.
GACGAACGCUGGCGGCGUGCCUAAUACAUGCAAGUCGAACGCUUUUUCUUUCACCGGAGCUUGCUCCACCGAAAGAAAAAGAGUGGCGAACGGGUGAGUAACACGUGGGUAACCUGCCCAUCAGAAGGGGAUAACACUCGGAAACAGGUGCUAAUACCGUAUAACACUAUCUUCCGCAUGGAAGAAAGUGGAAAGGCGCUUUUGCGUCACUGAUGGAUGGACCCGCGGUGCAUUAGCUAGUUGGUGAGGUAACGGCUCACCAAGGCAACGAUGCAUAGCCGACCUGAGAGGGUGAUCGGCCGCACUGGGACUGAGACACGGCCCAGACUCCUACGGGAGGCAGCAGUAGGGAAUCUUCGGCAAUGGACGAAAGUCUGACCGAGCAACGCCGCGUGAGUGAAGAAGGUUUUCGGAUCGUAAAACUCUGUUGUUAGAGAAGAACAAGGAUGAGAGUAACUGUUCAUCCCUUGACGGUAUCUAACCAGAAAGCCACGGCUAACUACGUGCCAGCCGCCGCUGUAA